UCGAGGUAUUAAGGGCACAUGGUGGAUGCCUAGGCGCCAGGAGUCGAAGAAGGACGUGGCUAGCUGCGAUAAGCCACGGGGAGCCGCCAACAGGCUGAGAUCCGUGGAUAUCCGAAUGGGGGAACCUGGUACGGGAAGACCGUAUCACACCUGUCUGAACACAUAGGGCAGGUGGGGUAACGAAGGGAACUGAAACAUCUAAGUACCUUUAGGAAAAGAAAGCAAGAGCGAUUCCCUAAGUAGUGGCGAGCGAACGGGGAAGAGCCUAAACCUUGUCGGUGCAAAAGUCUGCCGACGUUGCCGGCAAGGGGUAGCGGGACCUUCCUAUGCAGUACGGCAGUGCUGCAGGGGAGUAAGAAACUCAUUAUCUAGUUGAACAUGCCUGGAAAGGCAGGCCAUAGAAGGUAACAGCCCUGUAAGCGAAAGGUGAUGAGCUCCCUAGGAAGGCACCCAAGUACCGCGGGGCACGCUAACCCUGUGGGAAUCUGGGAGGUCCACCUCCUAAGGCUAAAUACUCCCUGGCGACCGAUAGUGAACCAGUACCGUGAGGGAAAGGUGAAAAGCACCCCUGUUAGGGGAGUGAAAUAGAACCUGAAACCGUGUGCCUACAAGCAGUUCUAGGCCCAUGGACUUAAAGUCCGGGCUGAGAGCGUGCCUAUUGCAGAAUGAACCGGCGAGUUAUGGUUUGUAGCGAGGUUAAGGAAUUAAGUUCUGGAGCCGCAGGGAAACCGAGUGUGAAUAGCGCGUCAAGUUACAAGCCAUAGACCCGAAACCGGGUGAGCUAUCCAUGGCCAGGGUGAAGCGUGGGUAAAACCACGUGGAGGCCCGAACCCGUUGUUGUUGAAAAAACAUGGGAUGAGCUGUGGAUAGGGGUGAAAAGCCAAACGAACUCGGAGAUAGCUGGUUCUCCCCGAAAUAGCUUUAGGGCUAGCCUCGAAGCGAGGAAGGUGGAGGUAGAGCACUGGUUGGGCUAGGGGUCCUAUAAGAUUACCGAACCCAUUCAAACUCCGAAUGCCAUCUAAACCAUCUUCGGGAGUCAGACUACGGGUGAUAAGAUUCGUGGUCGAAAGGGAAAGAGCCCAGACCGCCGGCUAAGGUCCCUAAGUACAGGCUAAGUGGUAAAGGAAGUGGAAUUCCCAAGACAGCCAGGAUGUUGGCUUAGAAGCAGCCAACAUUUAAAGAGUGCGUAAUAGCUCACUGGCCGAGGGGUUUUGCACCGAAAAUACACGGGGCUAAAGCCUGACACCGAAGCCGCGGAAUUGGUUAAUAGCCAAUUGGUAGGGGAGCGUUCUCUAUGCGCAGAAGGUAGACUGUGAGGACUGCUGGAGCGUAGGGAAGUGAGAAUGCCGGUAUGAGUAGCGAAAAGACAGGUGAGAAUCCUGUCCGCCGAAAGCCUAAGGUUUCCUGGGCAAGGUUCGUCCGCUCAGGGUUAGUCGGGCCCUAAGCCGAGGCUGAAGAGCGUAGGCGAUGGACAACCGGUUGAUAUUCCGGUACCGCCGCAUAGAGCGAAGGGGGGACACAGGUAGGAGGGUCUGGCCGGGGGUUGGAAGACCCGGUCUAAGCCAUCGAGGAAGCCUCCAUAGGAAAAUCCGUGGGGGAGUUCUGAGAGGCGAGUGCGAGGGAAAAGUAAGUACCGAAGCAGGCCUGUCCCAUACUGUCGAGAAAAGCCUCUAGCGCACACAUGUGCAAUCUAUGUGGCGCCCGUACCGCAAACCGACACAGGUAGGCGGGGAGAGAAUCCUAAGGCGCGCGGGAUAACCCUCGUUAAGGAACUCGGCAAAAUGACCCCGUAACUUUGGGAGAAGGGGUGCCUCCGUAAGGAGGCCGCAGUGAAUCGGCCCAGGCGACUGUUUAUCAAAAACACAGGUCUCUGCAAAGCCGCAAGGCGAAGUAUAGGGGCUGACGCCUGCCCAGUGCCGGAAGGUAAAGGGGAAGGGUUAGCGCAAGCGAAGCUCUGAACCGAAGCCCCGGUGAACGGCGGCCGUAACUAUAACGGUCCUAAGGUAGCGAAAUUCCUAGUCGGGUAAGUUCCGACCCGCACGAAAGGCGUAACGAUCUGGGCGCUGUCUCAACGAGGGACCCGGUGAAAUUGUAAUACCUGUGAAGAUGCAGGUUACCUGCGACAGGACGGAAAGACCCCGUGGAGCUUUACUGUAGCCUGAUAUAGAAUUUUGUUACUUCAUGUAGAGGAUAGGUGGGAGGCUGGGAACUGCCCUCGUCAGGGGGCAGGGAGCCGCCGGUGGAAUACCACCCUUGAAGUAACGGAAUUCUAACCUAGGACUCGAGACGAGUUCGGGGACGGUGUCAGGUGGGCAGUUUGACUGGGGCGGUCGCCUCCUAAAGAGUAACGGAGGCGCCCAAAGGUUCCCUCAGCGCGGUUGGAAAUCGCGUGUGGAGUGUAAAGGCAUAAGGGAGCUUGACUGUGAGAGAGACAUCUCGAUCAGAGACGAAAGUCGGGCUUAGUGACCUGGUGGUUCCGAGUGGAAGGGCCAUCAAUUAACGGAUAAAAGUUACCCCGGGGAUAACAGGCUGAUCUUCCCCAAGAGUCCACAUCGACGGGAAGGAUUGGCACCUCGAUGUCGGCUCAUCGCAUCCUGGGGCUGAAGCAGGUCCCAAGGGUUCGGCUGUUCGCCGAUUAAAGCGGUACGUGAGCUGGGUUCAGAACGUCGUGAGACAGUUCGGUCCCUAUCCGUCGCAGGCGUAGGAAACUUGAGGGGAGCCAUCCACAAUACGAGAGGACCUGGAUGGACGCACCUCUGGUGUACCAGUUGUUCCGCCAGGAGCAUAAGCUGGGUAGCUAUGUGCGGAGUGGAUAAGCGCUGAAAGCAUCUAAGCGCCAAGCCCACCCCAAGAUGAGGUUUCCCACGGAGAUAGUCCGGUAAGACCCCAGGGAGACUACCUGGUAGAUAGGCCGGGAGUGUAAGCGUGGUAACACGUUAAGCUGACCGGUACUAAUAGGUCGAGGCCUCGACUCU
RNAcentral lists this ribosomal RNA (2975 nucleotides) under anaerobic digester metagenome. Its description in RNAcentral is "bacterial LSU rRNA". It matches the Rfam family "Bacterial large subunit ribosomal RNA". The record is from RNAcentral.